This 334-nucleotide unclassified non-coding RNA is filed under the name soil metagenome. RNAcentral describes it as "partial contains 5.8S ribosomal RNA, internal transcribed spacer 2, and large subunit ribosomal RNA". The stretch from base 1 to 120 matches the Rfam family "5.8S ribosomal RNA", at positions 35 to 154 of the family's 154-position model. The record is from RNAcentral.
GAUGAAGAACGUAGUGAAAUGCGAUAAGUAAUGUGAAUUGCAGAAUUCAGUGAAUCAUCGAAUCUUUGAACGCACAUUGCGCCCGCCAGUAUUCUGGCGGGCAUGCCUGUUCGAGCGUCAUUUCAACCAUCAAGCCCUGCUUGCCUUGGGGUCCUGCGGCUGCCCGCAGGCCCUGAAAACCAGUGGCGGGCUCGCUAGUCACACCGAGCGCAGUAAUACAUCUCGCUUUGGGCGUGCGGCGGGUUCUUGCCGUUAAACACCCCCUUUUUACCAAGGUUGACCUCGGAUCAGGUAGGAAUACCCGCUGAACUUAAGCAUAUCAAUAAGCGGAGGA